AACGAACGCUGGCGGCAUGCCUAACACAUGCAAGUCGAACGAGACCUUCGGGUCUAGUGGCGCACGGGUGCGUAACGCGUGGGAACCUGCCCUUAGGUUCGGAAUAACUCCCCGAAAGGGGUGCUAAUACCGGAUAAUGUCUUCGGACCAAAGAUUUAUCGCCUUUGGAUGGGCGCGCGUUGGAUUAGCUAGUUGGUAGUGUAAAAGCCUAUCACGGCGACGAUCGAUAGCUGGUAUGAGAGGAUGGUCAGCCACACUGGGACGGAGACACGGCCGAGAAUACUACGGGAGGCAGGAGUGGGGAAUAUUGGAAAACGGGCGAAAGGAUGAUGCAGCAAUGCCGGGUGAGUGAUGAAGGCCUGAGGGAUGUAAAGCUCUUUUAUCCGGGAUGAUAAUGACAGUACCGGGAGAAUAAGCACCGGCUAACUCCGUG
RNAcentral lists this ribosomal RNA (433 nucleotides) under uncultured bacterium. RNAcentral's name for it is "partial 16S ribosomal RNA". It matches the Rfam family "Bacterial small subunit ribosomal RNA", at positions 29 to 507 of the family's 1533-position model. The record is from RNAcentral.